AAUGGUAGGGAUAGUUCCAUCAGUACAUGCUUGAGGAACACUAUGUUUGACCACCAAGAUAGGUUACUUCGGUAGAACGUCAGAAAAAUUAUAGCCGGGGUUAGGAUACCUCUCAAGAAGCAACGACAUGGCUUGACACAGUAUAUGCCUCGGUAGGACACAAGAACAGUCAGGACCAUGUACUAAUCGGACGAAAAGUUGGGCCUAUGUCACACCAGUCUCUUCCCGCAUUAGUUCUUCCAGAAGUAAACUGUGUACAGGUUACUAACCUGUGGCUCGCU
Molecule: long non-coding RNA, 281 nt
Organism: Triticum dicoccoides
Lineage: Eukaryota; Viridiplantae; Streptophyta; Magnoliopsida; Poales; Poaceae
Exons: 3
Source: RefSeq, a predicted model, not a curated record